AUGAUGGACAGCCUCUGGGAGGACCUCAACGACGACGAGGCGCCGGGCAGCGAGAGGAACGAUCUGCUCAUCGCCUCCCUCGACGUGUCGCGGCGGCGGUCCAUCGGAGGCCCAGGCCACCCCGUCGACGGGAGGAGGCCGACGACCACGGCGAAGGAGCGCGAGGCCGCAGCGGUGCUCGCGGCGUCGAGGAGCUCCCGAGGGCGCUCCCCGGGGCUGGUGGUGAUGAUGCGCGCGCUCAAGAAGAUGUUCGUCGCGCACAAGAGCAGAAGCAAAGUGCACAAGGUCGACGAGCAGAGCACCGCCUCUGCUUCUUCCGGCAACUCCUUCAAGAAAUGA
This 339-nucleotide ribosomal RNA is filed under the name Triticum aestivum (bread wheat). RNAcentral's name for it is "partial small subunit ribosomal RNA". Lineage: Eukaryota; Viridiplantae; Streptophyta; Magnoliopsida; Poales; Poaceae. The record is from RNAcentral.